GAGAUGGAUUGGUGCCUUCGGGAACUCUGACACAGGUGCUGCAUGGCUGUCGUCAGCUCGUGUCGUGAGAUGUUGGGUUAAGUCCCGUAACGAGCGCAACCCUUGUCCUUAGUUACCAGCACGUUAUGGUGGGCACUCUAAGGAGACUGCCGGUGACAAACCGGAGGAAGGUGGGGGAUGACGUCAAGUCAUCAUGGCCCUUACGGCCUGGGCUACACACGUGCUACAAUGGUCGGUACAAAGGGUUGCCAAGCCGCGAGGUGGAACUAAUCCCAUAAAACCGAUCGUAGUCCGGAUCGCAGUCUGCAACUCGACUGCGUGAAGUCGGAAUCGCUAGUAAUCGUGAAUCAGAAUGUCACGGUGAAUACGUUCCCGGGCCUU
This 381-nucleotide ribosomal RNA is filed under the name uncultured Pseudomonas sp. Its description in RNAcentral is "bacterial SSU rRNA". It matches the Rfam family "Bacterial small subunit ribosomal RNA", at positions 1003 to 1382 of the family's 1533-position model. The record is from RNAcentral. Lineage: Bacteria; Pseudomonadati; Pseudomonadota; Gammaproteobacteria; Pseudomonadales; Pseudomonadaceae.